CAAAGUCAUGGUUAAGUGGGAAACGAUGUGGGAAGGCCCAGACAGCCAGGAUGUUGGCUUAGAAGCAGCCAUCAUUUAAAGAAAGCGUAAUAGCUCACUGGUCGAGUCGGCCUGCGCGGAAGAUGUAACGGGGCUAAACCAUGCACCGAAGCUGCGGCAGCGACACUGUGUGUUGUUGGGUAGGGGAGCGUUCUGUAAGCCUGCGAAGGUGUGCUGUGAGGCAUGCUGGAGGUAUCAGAAGUGCGAAUGCUGACAUAAGUAACGAUAAAGCGGGUGAAAAGCCCGCUCGCCGGAAGACCAAGGGUUCCUGUCCAACGUUAAUCGGGGCAGGGUGAGUCGACCCCUAAGGCGAGGCCGAAAGGCGUAGUCGAUGGGAAACAGGUUAAUAUUCCUGUACUUGGUGUUACUGCGAAGGGGGGACGGAGAAGGCUAUGUUGGCCGGGCGACGGUUGUCCCGGUUUAAGCGUGUAGGCUGGUUUUCCAGGCAAAUCCGGAAAAUCAAGGCUGAGGCGUGAUGACGAGGCACUACGGUGCUGAAGCAACAAAUGCCCUGCUUCCAGGAAAAGCCUCUAAGCAUCAGGUAACAUCAAAUCGUACCCCAAACCGACACAGGUGGUCAGGUAGAGAAUACCAAGGCGCUUGAGAGAACUCGGGUGAAGGAACUAGGCAAAAUGGUGCCGUAACU
Molecule: ribosomal RNA, 685 nt
Filed under: Escherichia coli
Lineage: Bacteria; Pseudomonadati; Pseudomonadota; Gammaproteobacteria; Enterobacterales; Enterobacteriaceae
Description: partial 23S ribosomal RNA
Rfam family: Bacterial large subunit ribosomal RNA
Source: RNAcentral